Molecule: long non-coding RNA, 1845 nt
Organism: Aegilops tauschii subsp. strangulata
Lineage: Eukaryota; Viridiplantae; Streptophyta; Magnoliopsida; Poales; Poaceae
Source: RefSeq, a predicted model, not a curated record
UGUCUAGGGGGAUAGAGGCGAAGUUGUCUAAAUAACAUCCGUUAGUUGCCUGCGACAAGUGGUAAGUUGUCUGGGGGUUGGCAACUUCACAUCACUUUUGUUGUCCGAGGAAAGUGGCGAAUCUUCCUGGGGUAUCAACUUUACAACACUUUCAAAGCAACUUUCCUCCUAACGGACGCAACUCUAGUGAUAUACAGUUCAUUGCACUAUGUGUACUAGUGAAUUUGUCUAACUUUCUCCUAACUUUGCCCAACACGGAGGCUAAGUUGUCUACCCGUUGAUGCUCAGAUGCCUACCAUUGUCUCUAAGUUGCCUAUCAUCGGUCAUUGCAGAUUUUGAAUUUAGUCGCCUAUUGUGAUUGACAAGUUGCUUUAUAUUGUAAAUUAGUCGCCGACAAUCGACGCUCAGUCGUGCCGUCACUAACGAGUUACCUACCAUAAAAUGAAAAUUGGCCCAUUGUUGUUUCAAAGAUUUGUCUGCCUCUAAAGCUAAGUUGCUUAUAGUACUAGAAAGUACUUGUAGGCAAGUUAGAACAAUGUUUAGGAUACUCACUAGUUCAUGUUAGGCAACUUAGAGAUGAUGUUAUGCAACUUUAGAAGCGAUGUCAUACAACUUGACAAUCAUCACCCCCAACUUAGGGAAAGCAUUUAGUUGAUAGGCAGUCAUGAUAGGCAACUUUAUAGGUGAUAUGUGGCAACUUGAUGGUACUGGUAGCCAACUUAGAAGUAGAAGUGCUUGAGUAAAUAGGUAAUCAUGAUAGACAAUCUACUACAAAGUUGCUUCCUUUAGCACCAAAGUUGCCCCAUAUAGAACAUGGUGGAAUUUGUUGGAGAUUUGGGGAGGGCUGCGAGGGGAAACCUAUGGUGUUGGUGUUGAAUCGAUUGGUAGUGGUGUUGAAUUGACGAAUCUGCACGCUGGGGGCGGAAUGUUCUAUGGUCAAGUUUUGUGGUCUACUCGCGGGUGACGAUGGACGAACGUGACAAGCCAGCGAUGCAGCGGGGCUAGGGCUUUGGUUGACCUCGUCCAUGCAUGGGUCAUGGAUAAUUAUGCGGUGGAAAAGAGCGGGACGCCCCCUGGUGUCUUCUCAUAGGAGAACCUAGCUUAGCAAGUGAUGCACAUGGAUGCCAGGUUGAGGGGAUGGGUGGAGGGUCGGGGACAAGUUGCCAGUGCAGAGGCGACGAGUUGCCAGAUCUACAACAAAGUUUGCCAGAUCAUUUUUCCUGAGAGUGUGGUUUUCAAUUUUCUUCCCACAACUUGUCUAAACUUUGAUUAGUAGGCGCCUCUGUUUUAAUUUUCGACUUUCCUAAUUGUUUGGCGAGCAGUUUGCCUGGAGUUUGCUAAAAAACUUGCCGCUCAAUGCUCCAAAACUUGGUAUACUUGAUAUUUUAGUAGACACACAAGUCGUACUAGGUUGCAACUUUUAUACAUGUAAAUUAUUGUAGUUACAAUCGUCAGAUCCAUGUGUUCUUCACAAAUCACAUUCAUGGGCCAGUUUACAUACCUAGGUUCACAUUGUUGUCAUCAAGUGUUUUGUAAUGCAUUAUUCUACCAUUAUGGGGGCGCUGAUCUUCCCAUUUCCAUAUUUUUUCCUUUUGUCUUUCUUGUAUCAGAUUAGGAGUUGGCUGGGACGAGCAAAAUCGUGAUUAGCAGCAGCCAGAAUUGACCCAGCAUGCAUAGGGGUUCAUUCAAGUUAUUAGAGCAUGGUCAUGUCCACCAGAGGAGAUGGGGGGCGAGAUGGAACUUUCAUCUGGGUCAAGAUCUUUCUUUUUUGGAAUGGAGGAUGGAGGCAUGCAUUGGGUUGGUGAGAUGGACAAUACGUGGGGCGUGGGGGGCCUUUUUGCGUUC